AGAAAGGGAAGAUGUGUGGGGAAGAGGUGUGAGGAAGUGGUUAUUUGUGUAAAGGGAAGAAGAUGAGCAGAGCAGAAACGGGGCCAAAGAAAGACGACCCAAGAAGUCAAGAAGGACCAGGAGAAUGAAGUGUCAGGAAGCUGUGGGAGAAUAGAGAAGUAAAGAGGCUGGGGUCAAAAGCCACAGGAGACUUCUGCUGAGGUAAGGACUGAAACAUGUCAUUUGCACUUAGUUGAGGAAUGACCAGUAAUUCAGAAGAGUAUUGAAAAUGAUUUCUGAGGAGUAAUGGAUACUGAUAGUUCUACAUAUUUUUUUUCUUUUAAUCCAAGAGGUUUUUAGAGGUGACUUAUGGAUAGAAGUUGUGGUAAGGGUCCUGUCGUGAUGGUGUGUUUGCAGAAUACUAACAUAAGGUUGAAAAAUUGUCAGUGUUCUAUAAAGAGAGUUGGGAGACUUAGGGAUUAAGUCCAUUGUAUCUGCUAGGGCCUCCAAUAUGAUGGAGUCAGAGCCAGAGAGCAAUGGUUGAAGGAAGGGUAUGCCUUGAGGAAAUAGGCUUAGGUUGUUAGGUGGGAGAGGGAGGGAUAAGGGGCAGUUAAAAUAAGAAACAAAAACAAGAAAGUAAUUUUGUUUUGCCCCUCUGGGGCUGCAAAAAGAAGUAAUUUUGUUUUUAAGAAUGAACUUAUCCUGUUAUUUCUAUUCUUUGCUAACAGAAGAAAGAGGGGAAAAUGGAGAGGCUGAAGACACAGAGGAGAGGAGCUGGCCUGAGGUGGCUGAAGGUAUAGCAUCCCAGAAGAGAGGCUGGACUGGAAAGCAGGAGGGACACCCCACCAGCAGAAGGAGUUUUCCACUGCAGCAGCCAGAAAGGUAUGGGUUUAUCUGUAUAACUCAAGCCAGAGUGUUUUUAUCUUCUGUAUUCACAGGGGUCCCUCGUCAGUGGGAGUGGAUAGCAGGCUUAAACUCACAGGACACAGUGGAGGGCAAGCUAACUAGGUGGACCGCAGAGACCCACAGGUGUCCUGCCUUUAAGCACUGAGACCUUGGCUGCUAGGUAAUCGCCUCAAGAUCCACCCAGGGAUUUCCCAUCUAACUUAAUGGGACAAAAUUUAGGAAUAAAGAGAACAGACCCUCACA
This 1128-nucleotide long non-coding RNA is filed under the name Sus scrofa (pig). RNAcentral's name for it is "lncRNA (ENSSSCG00015059001.1, ENSSSCG00055007622.1)". The record is from RNAcentral. Lineage: Eukaryota; Metazoa; Chordata; Mammalia; Artiodactyla; Suidae.